Molecule: ribosomal RNA, 658 nt
Filed under: Streptomyces sp.
Lineage: Bacteria; Bacillati; Actinomycetota; Actinomycetes; Kitasatosporales; Streptomycetaceae
Description: bacterial SSU rRNA
Rfam family: Bacterial small subunit ribosomal RNA
Source: RNAcentral
CCCUCGCGCCCUAUCCACUUGUGGUGAGUGUAAUCAGAGCUCAGCCUAGUCGAUCGUCGUGUAGCUGUCCUGAUCGGGCGACCUGGCCGGCACUGGGACUGAUACACGGCCCCGACUCCUACGGGAGGCAGCAGUGGGGAAUAUUGCACAAUGGGCGAAAGCCUGAUGCAGCGACGCCGCGUGAGGGAUGACGGCCUUCGGGUUGUAAACCUCUUUCAGCAGGGAAGAAGCGAAAGUGACGGUACCUGCAGAAGAAGCGCCGGCUAACUACGUGCCAGCAGCCGCGGUAAUACGUAGGGCGCAAGCGUUGUCCGGAAUUAUUGGGCGUAAAGAGCUCGUAGGCGGUCUGUCGCGUCGGAUGUGAAAGCCCGGGGCUUAACCCCGGGUCUGCAUUCGAUACGGGCAGACUAGAGUGUGGUAGGGGAGAUCGGAAUUCCUGGUGUAGCGGUGAAAUGCGCAGAUAUCAGGAGGAACACCGGUGGCGAAGGCGGAUCUCUGGGCCAUUACUGACGCUGAGGAGCGAAAGCGUGGGGAGCGAACAGGAUUAGAUACCCUGGUAGUCCACGCCGUAAACGGUGGGAACUAGGUGUUGGCGACAUUCCACGUCGUCGGUGCCGCAGCUAACGCAUUAACGGUUCUUUGCCUAGGGGGAGUACGG